RNAcentral lists this long non-coding RNA (1229 nucleotides) under Numida meleagris (helmeted guineafowl). RNAcentral describes it as "lncRNA (ENSNMEG00000008563.1)". Lineage: Eukaryota; Metazoa; Chordata; Aves; Galliformes; Numididae. The record is from RNAcentral.
GUUCAGAGAUGGUCACUGUUCUUGUCUGAGCACCUUGCCUUCAGCACCUUUCCCCUCUGCAGGCACCCAUCCAACCCCACUCAGCUACAGCUCUGCCUAGGUGCAUGUCUAAUACCCCUCGGAGUGAGUGUGCCACCGAAUGCUCCAGUUUAAGAAGGACAUCUUUGUACAAAAAAAAGGGGGGGGAGGGAGAAGCAAAGAGAACAGUUAUGAUGAGUUGCAACUUGAAGAUAAAACAAACAAAACUGGAAAAGAAGGAAAUAAGUAGAAUCACCCUGUUUCACAUGACUCAGACCCUUGCACACCAGAUGCUCCACCUGCUGCCACUUCUCCACCAACUUCAGAAGAACCCGGACCUUUCACUGCACCAACAUCACCCUCUUCCUCCUCUGAUCCUGGUACCGCGUCAUUUUCACCACCGCUACCUGCCUGCGUUGCAGCCUUGCAUCCCAAACCGGCUCCUAUUCCACCACCAACGUCAGCUUCUGCAGGCACAGUUCACCCUGGACUCCCUUCUGUUCCUGCACCACCCGCCUCUACUUCAUCCCUGCACCCUGGACUCUAUCUGCCAGUCAUCCCUCCCGGCAGUGCCACCCACCUCAUCAACUGGCUGCCCUUCCUGGCUUCUGCAACACUCGCCACCAUCCGCGGGAAGGAGGAGGAUCAGCCUCCUGUAGGAACAUGCUCCUUGGAAAGCGUGAAGCGAUGCAACAGCACACCCCCAACACCCUCCCAUGACGACAACCACCAUGCUGCAUCCGUGGAAGACAGGGCUCCAGAAGCUGCUUCCCUGCCACCGGCUGCCCAUUCCGUGCCCCCGAGCUCUGAGCAGGCAUCAGCAAACGUGAGUGACAUCCUGGCGGAGCUGAGGACCAUGAACGGCCAUCUGUCUGUCAUUGCCCGAGCGCUGACACAGCUGGCAUCAUCGUUGGCACCGCAGCAAGGCGCACAUGGCACCCCACCUCCUUAGUGCUUGGUGACCCACCCUGCUCACAGGGGUGGCAUUGGCCGGGGACAUCCCGUGGUGGAGAUGUGGAGGAGGGAGACCCUACACGAACCUGCCCAUGUGGUCUGUGCCGUUUUGCUGUGCUCUCUGACACAAGCCAAGACAAACCCCAGUGGGUUUUCAUAUUUGUUUGUUUAUUUCCUCCUUGUAAACGGCUGCAUAUAUUAAAAAAAAAAAAAAAGGUUUUGUGGUAUUGUUAAUAAAACUGUUUACAUUUCUUGCA